RNAcentral lists this small RNA (1137 nucleotides) under Pongo abelii (Sumatran orangutan). Its description in RNAcentral is "retained intron". The record is from RNAcentral. Lineage: Eukaryota; Metazoa; Chordata; Mammalia; Primates; Hominidae.
AGAAGUGGAGAGUAUUAUUGAAGAACACUGAAAACAACCUCUUACGUAACAGGAUGGAGGGACAAGGGGGAGCCCAGGUCCCUGUGAAGUCACUGUGGUCUAUAGAUCCUUUCUUUUGUAGGUUUUGGUGCCUGGGACCAUAUCUGCAACAUGAGAUACAGAGCCUUUCGGCGAAUGCAGGUGCCCCUUUAUCUUUUCAAUUUUGUCAAGAUGUCUUGGUCUGUCUUGUGUUAAGAUAUCGGAGUCCACUUUCUCCAAGUGUUCUGUGAAUGUAGGAGGAAUCAGACAAGGUUCACAUUCAGUCCGAGGAAGUGGGGAGAAGCAUUCCCAGGAGAAUUUUCUUCUAAUUUUAUAUUUUCCUGCCAGAGAGGCUGACAAAUUGUGAUUUUCUGCUCUGUCACUUGGGAAAGCAAUAUUGUUUCUGAUUGGAGUGGUGUUUCCCUCUUGAUUUUAAUGCAAACUUUCCUUUUGUGUUUCCAGGUGUGGGACGCCUGCUCAGAGGCCCUGAUAAUGUUUGAUAAGGAUAAUUUAGAUGAUAUGGGCUAUAUCGUGGAGAAUGAUGUCAUCAUGCAUGCUCUCACUAAGCAGCUGGAGGCUGUGUCUGACCGAGUGACGGUUCUCUACAGGAGCAAAGCCAUUCGCUAUACCUGGCCUUGUCCAUUUCCUAUGGCCGACUCCAGCCCUUGGGUUCAUAUUACCCUAGGUGAUGGCAGCACCUUCCAGACCAAAUUGUUGAUAGGUGCAGAUGGUCACAACUCCGGAGUACGGCAGGCUGCUGGAAUCCAGAAUGUGAGCUGGAACUAUGACCAGUCUGCUGUUGUGGCUACUCUGCAUUUAUCAGAGGCCACAGAAAACAAUGUAGCCUGGCAGAGAUUUCUUCCCUCUGGGCCUAUUGCUCUGCUCCCGCUCUCAGACACCUUGAGUUCCUUGGUUUGGUCCACAUCCCAUGAACAUGCAGCAGAGCUAGUUAGCAUGGAUGAGGAAAAAUUUGUGGAUGCCGUUAAUUCUGCCUUUUGGAGUGAUGCUGCCCACACGGACUUCAUCAACACAGCUGGUGCCAUGCUGCAGUAUGCUGUCGGCCUUCUGCAGCCCACUAAGGUCUCGGCUCGCCAGCUGCCCCCAAGCGUAGCCCGGGUG